AGUGAACGCUGGCGGUAGGCCUAACACAUGCAAGUCGAACGGCAGCACAGUAAGAGCUUGCUCUUACGGGUGGCGAGUGGCGGACGGGUGAGGAAUACAUAGGCAUCUACUUUUUCGUGGGGGAUAACGUAGGGAAACUUACGCUAAUACCGCAUACGACCUACGGGUGAAAGCAGGGGAUAUUCGGACCUUGCGCGAUUGAAUGAGCCGAUGUCGGAUUAGCUAGUUGGCGGGGUAAAGGCCCACCAAGGCGACGAUCCGUAGCUGGUCUGAGAGGAUGAUCAGCCACACUGGAACUGAGACACGGUCCAGACUCCUACGGGAGGCAGCAGUGGGGAAUAUUGGACAAUGGGCGCAAGCCUGAUCCAGCCAUACCGCGUGAGUGAAGAAGGCCUUCGGGUUGUAAAGCCCUUUUGUUGGGAAAGAAAAGCAGCAGGUUAAUACCCCGCUGUUCUGACGGUACCCAAAGAAUAAGCACCGGCUAACUUCGUG
RNAcentral lists this ribosomal RNA (492 nucleotides) under uncultured bacterium. Its description in RNAcentral is "partial 16S ribosomal RNA". It matches the Rfam family "Bacterial small subunit ribosomal RNA", at positions 29 to 507 of the family's 1533-position model. The record is from RNAcentral.